Molecule: ribosomal RNA, 749 nt
Filed under: Lentilactobacillus buchneri
Lineage: Bacteria; Bacillati; Bacillota; Bacilli; Lactobacillales; Lactobacillaceae
Description: bacterial SSU rRNA
Rfam family: Bacterial small subunit ribosomal RNA
Source: RNAcentral
GCAAGUCGAACGCGUCUCCGUUAAUGAUUUUAGGUGCUUGCACUUGAAAGAUUUAACAUUGAGACGAGUGGCGAACUGGUGAGUAACACGUGGGUAACCUGCCCUUGAAGUAGGGGAUAACACUUGGAAACAGGUGCUAAUACCGUAUAACAACCAAAACCACCUGGUUUUGGUUUAAAAGACGGCUUCGGCUGUCACUUUAGGAUGGACCCGCGGCGUAUUAGCUUGUUGGUAAGGUAACGGCUUACCAAGGCGAUGAUACGUAGCCGACCUGAGAGGGUAAUCGGCCACAUUGGGACUGAGACACGGCCCAAACUCCUACGGGAGGCAGCAGUAGGGAAUCUUCCACAAUGGACGAAAGUCUGAUGGAGCAACGCCGCGUGAGUGAUGAAGGGUUUCGGCUCGUAAAACUCUGUUGUUGGAGAAGAACAGGUGUCAGAGUAACUGUUGACAUCUUGACGGUAUCCAACCAGAAAGCCACGGCUAACUACGUGCCAGCAGCCGCGGUAAUACGUAGGUGGCAAGCGUUGUCCGGAUUUAUUGGGCGUAAAGCGAGCGCAGGCGGUUUUUUAGGUCUGAUGUGAAAGCCUUCGGCUUAACCGGAGAAGUGCAUCGGAAACCGGGAGACUUGAGUGCAGAAGAGGACAGUGGAACUCCAUGUGUAGCGGUGAAAUGCGUAGAUAUAUGGAAGAACACCAGUGGCGAAGGCGGCUGUCUGGUCUGUAACUGACGCUGAGGCUCGAAAGCAU